CCUUAAGUCUCAGAGAGCAGGGGAGUGCUCUUUCUAACAGUCCUGGGUCAUCUCCAAGGGCCUAAAGCUGACACUGCAGCAGAACUCCACCUGGCUCUCCUGCCCAAAUCCACAGGCUUACCGCUAGUACAGUGGUGCUCACCCUGUGGGGUAAAUAUCCUCCAUGUGGCACUUAAAUGACUCUUACUAAAUACUCUUGUUGGGACUGCUUACUAAUGACAAGGCCUGGAGGAGUCACAGAUGAGUUAAGAGUGCAGUCAGAGGAGGAAGCAGAGGAGCAGCGAUAAGAGGCAAGCAGACAGAUACAGUCAGUCUCCUGCUGCUGUCGGCUAGACUCCGGAUGUCAGUGUGGUCACCCCUGAUGCUCUGCCCUUAGGCAAAGCCUCGCUGGAGGCUAUGGAGAGCUACUCUCCGUGGCAGUUUGCACGGAGGCGGCAGAGUAUGACACUUCUGAGUCUCCCCCAUGCUGGGACCAAGGGCAUCAUCUAGGUGGGCAGGGAUUGAAUCUGGGGACAGAGCCUGCUCUGGGGCUGGGUACAGGGCAGUGCUGAGUGGUGCUGAGCUGCCCUGAGGAGUCAAGGUAGAAGAUUCAGACCUGUUGUGGAACUCCCGGAGGUCUUUGGUGGGGAAAGAACUUGCACGCAUUCAUUCAAAUAUUUUAGUGCUUAGAACCUUCCAGACACUGUAUGCUAGCCAUUCAGGACAUCGUGACGUAAGUCCUUGCCCUAAGACCUCACUUUCUGAUCGAAAAGCAAAGGGCUUCAGUAAGCAAAAUUUAGGCACUACACAUUUCUGCACUGGAUUUAAUUGUGCGACGUGGCCAGGAUUCAACAAUCCUUGAGCUGUUUUUUUCCACUUAACCUCUGAAAGCGUAAGACUGACUUAGGAUAAGCGUUGGGCCUGAUAGUCAGGGUUUAGAAGGUCAUGAGGAUCCCUUGGAAGGUCCCCAUGAAGAGAGGUGGUGUGGAAGUUGUCAGCUGAAGGAAGAGAACUCUCCUUCCCUCUCCUUCACUUAAGUCAGGAUGGUAGGAAGUCUGGGCCUAGCCAGAAUUCAAAGCCAGGAAUUGCAUGUGCUGUCUCCUCAGACACAGGACCCCUAACAUAAGGAGGCUGUCCUGCCUUAUCUUCCAAGAUAAGUCAGAAAGAUACCCAGAAACAGCGCUUCAGCGGCUAGGAUUCGAGGGCAGACAGGGAUGGAGGCCUUGGGAAGUGAAGUCACACACGUUUUCAGACAGGCUCACCUCAGGUCAUCUAACUGCGUGUCUGGAGGAGACUGCUAUGUCCAUUCUCCAAACUGGGGGUGAUUACUUCAGCAAAAUAGUAGAUGGGGGAGAUAAAAUGUAAUUUUGUGUGCAGUCUGCCCCUUAUUUUACAACUUUUUAAAACAGCUUAUCAGGCUGGGCACAAAAUGCCUGCUUACCCGAAGAGCCCACUGGAAAGCGGCUCACAGUCUUUGCUAUAAGCAUUCAUGGAAGAGAGAAUAGCACACGGAAGACCUUUAGGCAAGAAAGGGCUAGGCUGGCUUCAGGAAAAGAAGGGAAGGGAAUGACCGAUGGCUGAACAGAGUCAGAGGAUACGUGUAUGCAAUAAGUUGGAAAGGGGCCAGACCAUGUCUCUCCUAGUUCCCACUGCUUAGGCCACAUUUCCACUCAGCAGUUUUGCCUCAGAGACAACGUGAUUCCCAGAGUUAGGCCCAGCGUGUCAUUUCAGUAGAAGUUUGAGGGACAGACGGUGAAGAUCCACUGGGUUCUGACUGGGUACAUGGAGUGUUGGCCCAGUAAUUGAUGAGCCAGGCACAGAGAUGCGCCUGCCUGGAGGAAGGGCACCUCUGCCUUGUCCACAGAAAUGUGUCAGGAAGGCUCCAGGUGGCUUUGAAGCUCUGGCCAGUGCUCCACAAGUCCCGAG
This 1905-nucleotide long non-coding RNA is filed under the name Mus musculus (house mouse). RNAcentral describes it as "elncRNA-EC7". The record is from RNAcentral. Lineage: Eukaryota; Metazoa; Chordata; Mammalia; Rodentia; Muridae.